Molecule: ribosomal RNA, 250 nt
Filed under: uncultured prokaryote
Description: partial 16S rRNA
Rfam family: Bacterial small subunit ribosomal RNA
Source: RNAcentral
ACGUAGGGGGCGAGCGUUAUCCGGAAUUAUUGGGCGUAAAGAGUGCGUAGGUGGUUCUUUAAGCGUGAGGUGAAAGGCAAUAGCUCAACUAUUGUAAGCCUUGCGAACUGGGGGACUUGAGUGCAGGAGAGGAAAGCGGAAUUCCUAGUGUGGCGGUGAAAUGCGUAGAUAGUAGGAGGAGCUCCAGGGGCGAAGGCAGCUUUUUGGGCUGUAACUAUCACUGAUGCAGUAAAGCGUGUGGAGCAAGCAG